This 492-nucleotide ribosomal RNA is filed under the name uncultured bacterium. RNAcentral's name for it is "partial 16S ribosomal RNA". It matches the Rfam family "Bacterial small subunit ribosomal RNA", at positions 29 to 507 of the family's 1533-position model. The record is from RNAcentral.
AGUGAACGCUGGCGGUAGGCCUAACACAUGCAAGUCGAACGGCAGCACCGUAAGAGCUUGCUCUUACGGGUGGCGAGUGGCGGACGGGUGAGGAAUACAUCGGAAUCUACUUUUUCGUGGGGGAUAACGUAGGGAAACUUACGCUAAUACCGCAUACGACCUACGGGUGAAAGCAGGGGAUCUUCGGACCUUGCGCGGUUGAAUGAGCCGAUGUCGGAUUAGCUAGUUGGCGGGGUAAAGGCCCACCAAGGCGACGAUCCGUAGCUGGUCGGAGAGGAGGAUCAGCCACACGGGAACGGAGACACGGUCCAGACUCCUACGGGAGGCAGCAGUGGGGAAUAGUGGACAAUGGGCGCAAGCCUGAUCCAGCCAUACCGCGUGGGUGAAGAAGGCGUUCGGGUUGUAAAGCCCUUUUGUUGGGAAAGAAAAGCAGCAGGUUAAUACCCCGCUGUUCUGACGGUACCCAAAGAAUAAGCACCGGCUAACUUCGUG